RNAcentral lists this ribosomal RNA (361 nucleotides) under uncultured bacterium. RNAcentral's name for it is "bacterial SSU rRNA". It matches the Rfam family "Bacterial small subunit ribosomal RNA", at positions 8 to 353 of the family's 1533-position model. The record is from RNAcentral.
AGAGUUUGAUCAUGGCUCAGGAUGAACGCUAGCUACAGGCUUAACACAUGCAAGUCGAGGGGAAACGACAUCGAAAGCUUGCUUUUGAUGGUCGUCGACCGGCGCACGGGUGAGUAACGCGUAUCCAACCUGCCCCAUCACUUGGGGAUAACCUUGCGAAAGUAAGACUAAUACCCCAAUGAUAUCUCUAGAAGACAUCUGAAAGAGAUUAAAGAUUUAUCGGUGAUGGAUGGGGAUGCGUCUGAUUAGCUUGUUGGCGGGGUAACGGCCCACCAAGGCAACGAUCAGUAGGGGUUCUGAGAGGAACGGUCCCCCACAUUGGAACUGAGACACGGUACCAAACUCCGUACGGGAGGCAGCA